Molecule: long non-coding RNA, 670 nt
Filed under: Cyanistes caeruleus (blue tit)
Lineage: Eukaryota; Metazoa; Chordata; Aves; Passeriformes; Paridae
Description: lncRNA (ENSCCEG00000023793.1)
Source: RNAcentral
ACUAGCAAAGAAUAUGAAACCAAGAUGCAAGUAGAUCCUCAAAGGAAACAUUCACUAUAUCCUAAAAAUUAAAAGUAAACACACAAACAAAUCAAGGCAGAAGGCGUUUUCAGUGUUGAUCUAAUCCUCUCUCCUGUGCAAGCAACUGAUGAAGAUACAACCAGGGAAAGUGAGAGAGCCCCCUGAGCGCGUGGAGAGCCAAUUCACCUAUGGGGACUCUGGCUUUAAUUAAUCUCCCUGCCUUCUUAGGGUGGCUAAAAGAGGAAAAUCCAGGCUGGAAAACAUCUGUUGCACCGCGGAGGCGGCAGCAAUUCAAGCAUAUCUCGGAACCUGGCAGUUUCACAAAGGAGGAGGAGACCCCAAUGCAAAGUACAAAAAUAAGGAAGAGAAAUAGAACCGAGUGUGCACUUCAGCCAAGAGAGCAGGCAUCAGCCAAAAUCAUGCACAAAAUAAAACCAGUUCUGGACUGUUCUAACCGCACAGCUACUAAUAACCACGGCCUUCCUCAGGGAGAGAACAUCAGUCAAAUAUUCCUCAUUGACACUGGUGUAAAUCCAGCUGCCUCUUCCAGUAUAACUGUUUUCUCUUUGCAGUGCCAGAGAGCACAGAUUUGACCUUGGUAAUUUUAUUAAAAAUAUAUAAAUUUUACAGAAAAAAGAAUCUGCUUCUU